CCUACGGGUGGCAGCAGUGAGGAAUAUUGGUCAAUGGGCGAGAGUCUGAACCAGCCAAGUAGCGUGAAGGAUGACUGCGCCAAGGGUUGUAAACUUCUUUUAUCAAGGAAUAAAGCGAGGCACGUGUGCCGUUGUGCAUGUACUUGAUGAAUAAGGAUCGGCUAACUCCGUGCCAGCAGCCGCGGUAAUACGGAGGAUCCGAGCGUUAUCCGGAUUUAUUGGGUUUAAAGGGUGCGUAGAUGGGUUGGUAAGUCAGCCGUGAAAGUUCGGGGCUCAACCGUAAACUAGCAAUUGAUACUGGCAGUCUAGAGUCGGGGUGAGGUAGGCGGAAUUCGCGGUGUAGCGGUGAAAUGCUUAGAUAUCGCGCAGAACUCCGAUUGCGAAGGCAGCUUACUAA
RNAcentral lists this ribosomal RNA (397 nucleotides) under uncultured bacterium. RNAcentral describes it as "partial 16S ribosomal RNA". It matches the Rfam family "Bacterial small subunit ribosomal RNA", at positions 338 to 732 of the family's 1533-position model. The record is from RNAcentral.